Molecule: long non-coding RNA, 970 nt
Organism: Trachemys scripta elegans
Lineage: Eukaryota; Metazoa; Chordata; Testudines; Emydidae
Exons: 3
Source: RefSeq, a predicted model, not a curated record
AAACUAGUCUGGUAUCCCAAGAUGGGGUGGAGUCUCAUACUUGAGGGUACAGGUUUUGAAGGCCCUUAAGGAAUCUUUUUGUUAGUGUGUAGGUAAAUCUUGGGGUGGAAUGCAGUGAUGGCAGCCAGGUGUACACAAAUGGAGCUUGUGGACAGUCCUGAUUUUUAAAUUCUUGAAUGUAGUCUAGAAUGAAUGGCAAAAGAGCAUUCAUUGCGGGGAUAUGUUUGGUGUCAUAUCAAGUCCGGAAUCUUUGUCUUUUAUAGACAAAUAUGGUGAGUUCUAUCACAUCUGUGAUUUAAAAGAAUCUCUUACCCCUUCUGAAUAGGUCAUCUCCAAAUCACGGAACUAUGAAGGAGCCAUGCCUUCAGAUGGAGGAGUUCUAGACUGGGAUGGAGGAUUUGGCCUGCAUCCUGAGAAAGAAGGUGUGGAGUCAACUGUAGGGUGAUUGAUAGACAGGCUGUCACGCGCAUGAGACAUAGCACCUGGAAGGUGGCCCUGACUGUACUGAUGCUGUGCUGAAUCUCAGCCUGCGACCAACCUUUGAUCAGCAAGUUGUGGAGGGGUCCUGCCUGGGAGGUGCCAUGAUUCUGGAAAGCUGCUGGGGCCUCAAAUGCUUCCUGGAUGUUGGUGGCAUGUAAAGGCCUAAGGACCAAAGGUGACCCUUGUGUCCUUGAGACUGUCUGCUCCAAGAACAGGAGUCCUCAAAGGGGAGGUCCUGGAUGGACUGUUGAACUUUGUGAGGGAGACCAGAUGAUUGGAGUCAUGAACAGCGCCUCAUGGUGACUAAUAAUGCCAUAGUCCUGGCUGCUGAGCUGGCCGCAUCCAGAGCCGCCUGGAGGGAGAUCCUAGCCACAGUCUUGCCCUCCCUUCAGGAUGUCUGCGAACUCCUGCCUCGACUCCUGAAGAAGGGAGUCUUUAAAUUUGAAUGAGUCCCACAGAUUAAAAUCAUACCUCUCCAGCAGAACCUGCU